RNAcentral lists this ribosomal RNA (402 nucleotides) under uncultured Sphingomonas sp. Its description in RNAcentral is "bacterial SSU rRNA". It matches the Rfam family "Bacterial small subunit ribosomal RNA", at positions 355 to 774 of the family's 1533-position model. Lineage: Bacteria; Pseudomonadati; Pseudomonadota; Alphaproteobacteria; Sphingomonadales; Sphingomonadaceae. The record is from RNAcentral.
UGGGGAAUAUUGGACAAUGGGCGAAAGCCUGAUCCAGCAAUGCCGCGUGAGUGAUGAAGGCCCUAGGGUUGUAAAGCUCUUUUACCCGGGAUGAUAAUGACAGUACCGGGAGAAUAAGCCCCGGCUAACUCCGUGCCAGCAGCCGCGGUAAUACGGAGGGGGCUAGCGUUGUUCGGAAUUACUGGGCGUAAAGCGCACGUAGGCGGCUUUAUAAGUCAGAGGUGAAAGCCCGGAGCUCAACUCCGGAACUGCCUUUGAGACUGUAUCGCUUGAACACGGGAGAGGUGAGUGGAAUUCCGAGUGUAGAGGUGAAAUUCGUAGAUAUUCGGAAGAACACCAGUGGCGAAGGCGGCUCACUGGACCGUUGUUGACGCUGAGGUGCGAAAGCGUGGGGAGCAAACA